This 766-nucleotide ribosomal RNA is filed under the name Bacillus sp. PSu2_48. RNAcentral describes it as "bacterial SSU rRNA". It matches the Rfam family "Bacterial small subunit ribosomal RNA", at positions 56 to 804 of the family's 1533-position model. Lineage: Bacteria; Bacillati; Bacillota; Bacilli; Caryophanales; Bacillaceae. The record is from RNAcentral.
UGCAAGUCGAGCGGACAGAUGGGAGCUUGCUCCCUGAUGUUAGCGGCGGACGGGUGAGUAACACGUGGGUAACCUGCCUGUAAGACUGGGAUAACUCCGGGAAACCGGGGCUAAUACCGGAUGCUUGUUUGAACCGCAUGGUUCAAACAUAAAAGGUGGCUUCGGCUACCACUUACAGAUGGACCCGCGGCGCAUUAGCUAGUUGGUGAGGUAACGGCUCACCAAGGCAACGAUGCGUAGCCGACCUGAGAGGGUGAUCGGCCACACUGGGACUGAGACACGGCCCAGACUCCUACGGGAGGCAGCAGUAGGGAAUCUUCCGCAAUGGACGAAAGUCUGACGGAGCAACGCCGCGUGAGUGAUGAAGGUUUUCGGAUCGUAAAGCUCUGUUGUUAGGGAAGAACAAGUACCGUUCGAAUAGGGCGGUACCUUGACGGUACCUAACCAGAAAGCCACGGCUAACUACGUGCCAGCAGCCGCGGUAAUACGUAGGUGGCAAGCGUUGUCCGGAAUUAUUGGGCGUAAAGGGCUCGCAGGCGGUUUCUUAAGUCUGAUGUGAAAGCCCCCGGCUCAACCGGGGAGGGUCAUUGGAAACUGGGGAACUUGAGUGCAGAAGAGGAGAGUGGAAUUCCACGUGUAGCGGUGAAAUGCGUAGAGAUGUGGAGGAACACCAGUGGCGAAGGCGACUCUCUGGUCUGUAACUGACGCUGAGGAGCGAAAGCGUGGGGAGCGAACAGGAUUAGAUACCCUGGUAGUCCACGCCGUA